Molecule: long non-coding RNA, 544 nt
Organism: Rhinichthys klamathensis goyatoka
Lineage: Eukaryota; Metazoa; Chordata; Actinopteri; Cypriniformes; Leuciscidae
Exons: 2
Source: RefSeq, a predicted model, not a curated record
AUGUAUUUUUUACUGGUAAAUACUGAAAUUCUUUUUACUUUUAAAUGCUGAAUUCAGGGAGUCGACAACUUUAGGCACGCAAGUUAUUUUUCACAGAUAUCUGUCCAGUUUACUCAUGGCUCAUACUCUUAGCCUUUAAAAUGUUUGAAUGUAUAUCCGCAAUACAAUAUCAGGGGGUAAAGAUAUCAUUAGAGUUUUUAAAGUUAUGGCUAUGCUCUUGUUACCAGAUGAGAUAUCUUUGACCCUGUGAUUCUUCAGGACGAGAUCUUGAUGCCAUCAACACUCAGUACAUGACGAAGGUUUUCUGGGAUCCGCAGCGGAAGGCAUCAAGGCGUGAGAUGUUGGCCUGGACUGAUGUACCUGAACACCACACCGACCUCUGCUUUUGCAUGGAUGGCUGAUUACUACUAUGUUCUGUAUAGGUUUUAUUAUAGCAAAACUGAGCACCUGUGACAGUGGAAUCUGUAGGUGUAAAGUAGUCAAACAUCAGUACAUUUAAAGUCACAGAGAGAAAGUUUUUUUAUUUUUUUAUAGAAGUUUCAAA